This 432-nucleotide long non-coding RNA is filed under the name Homo sapiens (human). RNAcentral describes it as "non-protein coding lnc-JMJD4-5:1". Lineage: Eukaryota; Metazoa; Chordata; Mammalia; Primates; Hominidae. The record is from RNAcentral.
CACUUUUAGCACGCUUUGGUGUUUGUGCUGCUGGUCUUCCUACCACUGUGGAAGUGGUUGCUGGAAUCUUAGUACACAGCAUGUUAAAGUUUCUGUUAAAAUUUGGUACUGUUAGUUUUACCUUGGAUACAAUGCAAUGCAGGAUUUUUUUCCUGCUGCGUCCAUGAAGCCAAAUCCUCAGUGUGAUGACAGAAAUUGCAGAAAGAAUGUAAGAAAAAGGUAGCAGCACUGCCCAAAUGAGGUUAUACAAGAAGAGGAAGAGAUAAUCCAUGAAUAUACCGAGUGGGGUAUUGAGCUGGUAUCUGAGGUUUCAGAAGAGGAAUUGAAAAAUUCUUCAGGUCCAGUUCCAGACUUACCUGAAGGAAUUACAGUGGCAUACACAAUUCCAAAAAAGCAAGAAGAUUCUGUCACUGAGGUAACAGUGGAAGAUUC